This 253-nucleotide ribosomal RNA is filed under the name uncultured Spartobacteria bacterium. Its description in RNAcentral is "partial 16S ribosomal RNA". It matches the Rfam family "Bacterial small subunit ribosomal RNA", at positions 524 to 776 of the family's 1533-position model. The record is from RNAcentral. Lineage: Bacteria; Pseudomonadati; Verrucomicrobiota; Spartobacteria.
UACAGAGGUCUCAAGCGUUGUUCGGAUUCAUUGGGCGUAAAGGGUGCGUAGGUGGCUGCGUAAGUCGGGUGUGAAAUCCCGGGGCUCAACCCCGGAACUGCACUCGAUACUGCGUGGCUUGAGUACUGGAGAGGAGAUUGGAAUUUACGGUGUAGCAGCGAAAUGCGUAGAUAUCGUAAGGAAGACCAGUGGCGAAGGCGGAUCUCUGGACAGUUACUGACACUGAGGCACGAAGGCCAGGGGAGCAAACGGG